UCGUAACGCGCGGCGGCUGUUGUUUUGUAUCGGAUCGUUCCCCUUAUGAUAACGAUAUCCGAUGUAUAUAAUGAAAACGAUACGGACUUAUGGUGGGUGAGCCACUGUCGAAAGCGAGAAGUUAGGAAGUUAAGAAGUAUAGAGUGGAAUUAAAUGUAUAUCUGUACGCUGCGACGGUUAAUCUUCGCAAACAAUAAACGAUUCUGUGCGUUUUAUGAGGCCACAAUAUAUACAAUUUGAAGAUAAUACAUUUCGUACGUUUUCCCGGUUUUUCCAUUGAAACGCAAAGGGAAAAUCUAAAAAUGACCUCCUUGAAGUGAAACUUCAGGUCA
This is a non-coding RNA of Cinara cedri, 332 nucleotides long. The record is from the annotation of a GenBank genome assembly. Lineage: Eukaryota; Metazoa; Arthropoda; Insecta; Hemiptera; Aphididae.